RNAcentral lists this long non-coding RNA (213 nucleotides) under Sorghum bicolor (sorghum). Its description in RNAcentral is "long non-coding RNA (SBIC_LNC011543)". Lineage: Eukaryota; Viridiplantae; Streptophyta; Magnoliopsida; Poales; Poaceae. The record is from RNAcentral.
UAUGUGUGUACUGUUGACGGUAGAUAACUCCUAUUUUUAAUCAUCAAUAAAUAGCUAAAAAGGGCAUAAUUGUAACAUCAACAUAACAUAGGGGUUUAAUUGACAAAUUUCUACGAGUUUUGGUGAAUAUCUUUUUCUGCAGGGGGUUAUCAGAAAAAGCCAAAAAGAGCCCAUAUGUCAUGUUUACAUAAAGACAGAAGCAGAAGAACCCAC